UACGGAGGGUGCAAGCAUUAAUCGGAAUUAUUGGGCGUAAAGGGCGCGUAGGCGGCUAUUUAAGUCAGAUGUGAAAUACCAGAGCUCAACUUUGGUGCUGCAUUUGAAACUGAAUAGCUAGAGGGCUGACGGAGAAAAUGGAAUUCCACGUGUAGCGGUGAAAUGCGUAGAUAUGUGGAAGAACACCUGUGGCGAAAGCGAUUUUCUAGUUAGGACCUGACGCUGAGGCGCGAGAGCAAGGGGAGCAAACAGG
This 253-nucleotide ribosomal RNA is filed under the name uncultured bacterium. Its description in RNAcentral is "partial 16S ribosomal RNA". It matches the Rfam family "Bacterial small subunit ribosomal RNA", at positions 524 to 776 of the family's 1533-position model. The record is from RNAcentral.